Molecule: unclassified non-coding RNA, 373 nt
Filed under: soil metagenome
Description: partial contains 5.8S ribosomal RNA, internal transcribed spacer 2, and large subunit ribosomal RNA
Rfam family: 5.8S ribosomal RNA (bases 1-121)
Source: RNAcentral
GAUGAAGAACGUAGCGAAAUGCGAUAAGUAAUGCGAAUUGCAGAAUUCCAGUGAGUCAUCGAAUCUUUGAACGCACAUUGCGCCCUUUGGUAUUCCGAAGGGCAUGUCUGUUCGAGCGUCAUUAUCACCCCUCAAGCCCUCGGCUUGGUGUUGGACGGUUUGGUGGAGGCCCCCUCGGGGGUUCCUGCCCCUCCCAAAGACAAUGACGGCGGCCUCGUUGGACCCCCGGUACACUGAGUUCUUCACGGGACACGUAUCGGACACAUGGGUUUACGGGACACGGUCUGCCUCCCCUCAGGGAGAAUCUUUCUAAGGUUGACCUCGGAUCAGGUAGGGAUACCCGCUGAACUUAAGCAUAUCAAUAAGCGGAGGA